RNAcentral lists this ribosomal RNA (330 nucleotides) under uncultured eukaryote. Its description in RNAcentral is "partial 18S ribosomal RNA". It matches the Rfam family "Eukaryotic small subunit ribosomal RNA", at positions 1470 to 1796 of the family's 1831-position model. The record is from RNAcentral.
CCCUUAGAUGUUCUGGGCCGCACGCGCGCUACACUGAUGCAUUCAACGAGCCUAUCCUUGACCGACAGGUCCGGGUAAUCUUUGAAUCUGCAUCGUGACGGGGAUAGAUCAUUGCAAUUAUUGAUCUUGAACGAGGAAUUCCUAGUAAGCGCAAGUCAUCAACUUGCGUUGAUUACGUCCCUGCCCUUUGUACACACCGCCCGUCGCUACUGCCAACUGAGAUGGGUCCUGAAUUGUUAGGAACGCCCGUCAAGGGGCCUACCCGGUCCCUAGUGCGGUGACGAGAAUAACUGUAAAUGGCAUAUCUUGUAGGGAGUAAAAGUCGUAACA